CUGGAGUGCCUUACCCCAAGGUGACGACGCCUUCAGCAUAAUCGAAACUGCAGAGCUGUGAGUUUAUCGCAAACUUGGAGUCGGAGCCAGCAUUGGCCCCGCCCCCGGCCCCGCCCUCUCCCCCUGAGCGCCCGCCGCAGGAAGACGCUUCCGCCUUCGGGAGUCUCAAGGGGAGGACAAAUGCUGCAAGGACCAACUAGGCCAGGUUUGGCAUUUUUAGGAAGUAGAAGUGACUGAGGACCUACUUACUACUUCACAGUGCUACUGUCCCGAUUGUUCAAAUAAGUGAACAGAACCACGAGUAUCACAAACUAGCGGAGCUGCUGCAUCAUUCAGCUAACAGACCAAGAUAAAGCUUUAUCACAACUGGUAACCUAGCUAUCAGGGCUACAAAAGGCGUCACACGUAAGCCCUUCAGGUUGUAUGCUCGCUUUCCUACUCCUUAGAAAGUGAUGCACAGUCAGAAGAGAACACUGGAGAAUCACGGAGAUUACUGCCCGUGGGAGAAAGCAGAUGACUUAGUUGCCAAUGGGAGCUUCUUCUGAGGAGCUGUCAACUUACAGGAAGAAUCUUUUCUGCAGAAUCCAGGUAGCACAACUGGCGGCUGCUCCUCUGUGGGCUGAAGCUGCAAUUCCCCUGAGAAGUGCAGAGAGGAGUUAGGGUGGCUUCUUUGAUCCUAGUGCUCUAUUAAGAAUGCCAGCAUAGUCAGAAGCUAAUGUGAUCAGAGUUUCCAACAAAAAUCAGUUUCCCUCCCCUUUCAACAAAGAAGAGCACCUCUCGUUAUUCAGGGGCCACCAUGCUAGCUGGUAGGACACUCACUCUGUGGGGACCUCUGCCUACAGGGUGGGUUGUGGUCUGGAGCAGCAUCCAAGGUAAGGGAUCGGAUUACAGUCUCACACACAAACUGGGUCCCACUCAGGUCUUCCUCCGUUUCUUCCACUGAAGCAGUGGCCUCGGCCUUCCUCUUUGUUGAUAUGGUGGAAUCUGAAAGACACACACAGCUACUCUGUUAAAAGAGUUGAGAGCUUUCACCAGUCACUGCAUACUAAACCUAGGUGAGGUAUGAAUAGCUGCUCUUGCUGUCAUGAGGGAAGACUUAGAAAGAGAGCGAGAGAUGCUGUAGACCACCAGUUUGCAUGCUGAGGCAAAGUUAAUGAGGAAUGGGUGUAUGAAAAUCGGUAUGGGAUGGGAAGGGAAGGUACAAGUGCUUUACAGACAUUUAACCCCUUACCAGGAAGUGCUUUAAAUCCCGCCCCUUCACUCUCUUCCUGUAUCUGCCCCAAGCCUGGCUUCUCUAUUAAAGGACUGUCAUGUGGCAGAGGAGACAUGCAGGGAGUCAUAUCUGGAGAAUGAAGACAGGAAAACCAUCAACUGAGAGAAAGCAUGACAUCAUAAACAGUCAAGUGUCCAGAAGCAGCAGUUUGUAGGUUUCUUGCUUCCUAUGGGGUUAAAAUAAACCCAAACAUGCUCCACCACCUGUCAUAAAGAACUUCACCAGCAACCAGCUCUGACCAAUCAAUGCUGGGUCACAAGUAAAUAGCUAAGCAGGCCAAAGCCAAGGUACAAGGAACAAAGGGAGAAAAAUGAAGAUGGGGUUCCUUUACAAUAGUCAAGUCCUGUUCACACUUGUACUGUGGCACUGACAGACAAUAGGGAAAGGAGGAGAUGGACCAUGGGUGCAGCUUCACUAUUACACGGGAGGGCUCCUCACCCUCCAAUGCCCCAGACUCUAACACCACUACCUGAAAAAGAUGAGCCAAGGCAUGCUUACCCACAGGGGUGUUGUGGGGCACUCUCUCCAAUUCUUGGACAAUGUUUAUAUCCAGCAGCUCAAAGGACAGCAGGUCCUAGAAAAGGAGAUGGCCAAAUAAAAGUGUCUGCAGUGCAAGUGAGAGCCAUGCUCUGUUGCAACUGGACCUACAGCCCUUCUGCACAUUGUCGGGAUUCAAUUCUGUUCCAACGCAUGCCCAUCCUCCAUCAAGUGAAAAGAGUUAAAUGGGAACCAGUGUUCUCAAAUGUCUAACUGGCAGGAGGAGAGGAAACAGUGGCUAGGCAAAUGAAGCAGGCUAAUAUGAAGAGGCCACUAGAGGGAAGCUGUGGGGAAGCACAAGCCUGAGCUUCCAACUCAUGAGGAAACAGUCAAGAAACUUGCUCCGUAGAUGAUCUCACUCCCAUUAAAUACUCGAUCAAGCUGACUGGAUCAAGCCUGCCCAUCUUUAACUUCCCAGAGCCACCUAUGGCUAUGCCACCUCAAUAAAAAGGUGAGCAGGACUCUUUCCUCAGUGUUCAUUUCCUUUCUCCCCCUUGUCCCUCAAAGUGCAGACUGUUUACCUGGGCAGUCAGAAGGUCCACAGAUGGAAUGUACAGUUCUCUCUCACUGGCGACACUCUGUGUCUUCUGUGGGGUACUGGUUCCUGUUCCUUCUGUCUGCUUUGUCACUUCACUCAAUGGAACCUCUUCUUCAGCUAGAAGAAAAGCUUCCUAUAGAGACAAAUAAUUGGGGCAUAUUUAGGUUCCAGAUUCUAACAGUAGAGUCUGCUCCACUAACAAAAAAGCAACAGCAGACAGCAGCAAGUAACAGGCAGGUCAAGAUGUCGUCAGAGUACAAGGGAACAGAGACACAGGAAUAUUCUAGGAGAUGAAUGUUAAGGAGAAAAGCUAGCAGGAGUUCACAGGAAGGCCAGGCAGCCCUUCUUUCCCUGGUGUAGCAAGCACUAUUACAGACACAGACCUCGGGGACUGCCUGCACCAAUACCCUAAGGACACUAAACACUCUGUGGACUGGGCCAAACACCAACACAAAAAUGUACAGGAGGGAAGACUAGCUCCAAAAUCCCAUGUGUGAAAAGUUUGGCCCCUUAGCUGGGUGGUGGUAGUACACAACUUUAAUCCAGCAUUGGCCUUUAAUCUCAGCACUUGGGAGGCAGAGGCAGGAGGAUCUCUGAGUUCCAGGGCAACCAAGGCUACACAAGAGAAACCUGUCUUGAAAAUCCAUGCACACAGAGGCAUGGUAUUACUGGACAAUAGCACAAGUUGGAGUCUUAGCUGAGGUCACUGUGGGAAUGUGCUCAAAGGGAAAUGUUGGACUCUGGUUCCUCCUUUUUCUCUUUUCUUCCUGGCUCUGAGUGGCAUUUUCCCCCUUUCUCUCUCUGCCAUAUGCUUUCUGCCAGUACAGUCUAAUAUGCCAACUAGAGACCUAAAGCAAUAGAUCUGCCUAAUCAUGGACCUGAACCUCUGAAAUGGAACCAAAAUGAACCUUUUUUUCUUUCUAAGUUAAUUAUCUCAAGUAUUUUGUCACAGUGAUAGAAAACUCAGAAACAGUAAAUUUUUAGGACAUCUGGAGAAAUAGCAAGCUAUGAAUGAGUUCUUUAAGGUUCAGGUCCCCAGUGUCCGUUUGUGUCAGACCUUAGAAAGAGUUAGCCUCAAACUUGCCUCAGCCUCCCAAGUGCAUGGAAUAUAAUAGGCAUGUGUCACCAAGCUUGACCUUUCUAGUGAAGGAGGAAGUAACGUGGUAUUCUGGGGCAAAGUCUACAGUGUACAUGCUCACCUCUUGCUCACAGGUGAAGUCAUCAGCUUUGCUUGAGCUCACCAGGCCCCUUUGAAUGUUAUCGAGGCUCUCAGAAGAGGGGAAAGGAUCCACUAUGAUACUGCACCAGACCCGAGGCCCAAACUGCUGGCCUUUGUGGGAAAGACGCCAAUGCGAAGUAUAUGUUCCUUCUAAGGUUGGAGCGAUGAACUCAACAGACACAACCCCCACAUGGCCAGCCUUCAAGCAGGGAACCAAAACAUCCUUCAUUUCUGUAGAAGCCAAUGUCAAGUUUCCCCACAUGAACUUGAGCUGAAAAGAACAAGAGGAAGCUUGUCAUCUGUGUCCCUUGCUGCACUGUACACAUCACUGUCUUUACAUUUAGUGAGGAAAAAAAUACCUUUGUGUCUGUACUCCAUUUCACAUUUCCUGUAUUUUUCAUCCUCCAGUGUUUGAUGAACUUGGUUCCCGGCUGAAGAUGAGUCCCAUCAGGCAAAUUCUCAUCCACAAAUGCUGCACUAAGCGUUGGCAUAACAGGGGCACAGGGUUGCAAAGGAAGCCUGGACAGAAACCAGAUGCUUAGUCACUUGCUGUCAGGGAUUCUCUGCAUAGUCCUGGCUGUCCUGGAACUCGCUCUGUAGGCCAGGAGGCUGACCUCCAACUCAUAGAGUGCUGGGAUUAAAGGUGUGCACCACCACUACCUAGCCUAUAUCAAAUAUUUAACAUCAAUCAGCAUGCUGUGUCAGCAGAAUCAAGAAGCCAAUCAGAUGAGCACCUGACUUGUUCAAGAGCAGCAGGAAGACGAGGAGUGGGAUAUUUUAAGUGGGAAAAUGGCUCAGAGGAAAUCAAAACAGGUCUCCGCAACUUUAGCAGGAUAUGGUUAUCAUCAUGAGCGUAUGGUCCAGCUUCACAGUCUUCACAGAUGUUGUAGGAUGGGCACAGGCUGCGUGAAAAGAACACAGUAAAACCUUCAUAGCAGGAAGUCCCUGAAGUACAACAACAAGAUUAGACUUUAUAUUUGCUCCAUUACUAGCCAUGUUGAGCCUAUGUUCUUCAUUAGUAAAAGGAGAGGAGUAACUCCUAAUCAUACCUAUUUCCAUGAAAUAGUUUACAGGAAGAAGAUACAAGAACAUUUUGAAGAAGGCAGGGGUCUAUCCUCAGUGAUCUAAUUUUGAUUGAGGUAACUUACUUUUGCCUGAUCCUGUUAAUCCAAAUAUGUAUCUGAACAGCACUCAGAAUAGCUCCCAGAAAACCCACAAAAAAGAUAAAUGAGGAGCACCUUGUGCUCGCAAAUCCAAGCCACAUCACCUACUGCUUGGAGACAGAAGACAUCCAGCUUCCCUUCAUGUACCCAAAAUAGUAGGCAGUCACUCCUCUGCCCAGGAAUGGCUUACCUACACUGGUAACGCACACCAAUGAUCCUUUUUUGGCACUGGCUGCAAGCAAUAUGCCAGCUGAACUGGUUCUCUUGUACAAACUGUGUUUCCUCUGAAACAGGCAUUGAAACUUCUGAGGGUGAGGAACACAAGGGUGACUUCUGGAGGACAAGCUUCUCUUGCAACCUCUGUUCAAGCUUCUCCACCGUUUCCUUAACCACUUGUUCUCUGAACUACAAUGCAGAGCAGAAGGUGGGGGUGGGUGGUGGGGUGGGGAGGACUCAGUUUGAGCACUGGAAAAAGUGAGAAGAAACAGCAAACCUGAAAUGUCCCUCUCUCUGGAAUAAGUUAAGAAGAACAUUGCAGAUGGCUACCAGAGCAAUGAACAGAAAUAUUACAGGUUUCUUCCUUUCAUGGCUAA
Cricetulus griseus (Chinese hamster) is the source of this 5323-nucleotide non-coding RNA. The record is from RefSeq and is a predicted model, not a curated record. Lineage: Eukaryota; Metazoa; Chordata; Mammalia; Rodentia; Cricetidae.